GCUUUUGACCUCUUUGGUAUAUUUGUACCAUUCAUUUAUUCCAUUUUAUAAUUGCUAUAUGAGUAACUCUGAUGCCAUCAGAAUCUGUUGGUAGAAAAAUGUAUGAGAAAGUACUCUUUUUUUAACUCCCACCUCUUUGAUGAGUUGUAAGGUAGAUUUUUAUUAGUAAGGGGAUUCCUAAAAAUAUGUAGAAGUGUAAUGUGCUUUAGACAGGGAAUUAUAUGCUGAAGCUGUUCCUGAUGCCUGCUCCUUACUCGGACGAAACACACAUUGAGUCAAGUCAUUACAGAAGAGAAGUACAUAAAUCUGUGUGGAGAAUAUACUACAUAGAGAAUGACAAAUAGACAAUCUCACUGAAUAGAGAUAUGAAGCGUGUCUGUCUUUAAACAUGUAUACGUAUGUGUAUUUGCUUGCAGAAGAAAGAGUAACGAUGUGGAAUUAUUAUUCUGGUUUCCCACUGUUUAUAGAGAUCACUGAUAGCACCUUCUGAAGCGAAAGUAUUAGAAAUUAAUAAAAGUCUUGAUCCUUGCUAGUAUCAAGACCAUAUGUACAGGGAAAUAUGAAAAUAUAUUGCUGUAGCAAAGACAGCAGCUGAGUACUCAUCUCCAGAUAUUCCCCAGUCUGAUUCAAUUCAUUCGUCAAUGUUCAUCCAAAUUUUGUUUCCUUCCCCAGGAAUUGUAGGACCCCCCUUAAAAGCAGACCAGACUUCACUUCACAGUAAAAUGGAAAGUUCUGCCUGUAACAUGAUGACCAGAAGGAAACCAGCAGCUGUUGACAGUAUUGCAACGCCGACUCCAGUAUUAUCUCUCCUACCUUCAGCAGCAGCAGCAUCUGAAGCAGAGGCUUAGGAAUGAGACUGAAGCAAACCCACAGUAAAGCACUGAUGUAGGAAAGUUUUGCUGCUUUAGAAGAGAAGAGAACUGGAGAUGGAUCACUGAGGACAACUUAACAAAGUUGUGUUUUCAUCUAGAACAGUAAAAAAGGAGGUAACAGCAAUUCUUCUGGGACUGUAAUAAUUAUUCUUUUAUUUUUUUUAAUUGCUUGUCUAUGCAAAGUCCUUUCUCACAGCCACUGCUUCUUCAGUAGUCAUAUUCAGCCUCUCAGUCUUGAAAACCCCUAGUCUUCGUGAUACUGAAAGCAGACAAAGGAG
This 1150-nucleotide long non-coding RNA is filed under the name Anser cygnoides (Swan goose). RNAcentral describes it as "lncRNA (ENSACDG00005007129.1)". Lineage: Eukaryota; Metazoa; Chordata; Aves; Anseriformes; Anatidae. The record is from RNAcentral.